RNAcentral lists this ribosomal RNA (436 nucleotides) under uncultured bacterium. RNAcentral's name for it is "bacterial SSU rRNA". It matches the Rfam family "Bacterial small subunit ribosomal RNA", at positions 29 to 450 of the family's 1533-position model. The record is from RNAcentral.
AACGAACGCUGGCGGCGUGCCUAACACAUGCAAGUCGUGCGAGAAAGUUCCUUCGGGAGCGAGUAAAGCGGCGCACGGGUGAGUAACACGUAGGUAACCUGCCCCCCAGUCUGGAACAACUAGAGGAAACUCUAGCUAAUGCCGGAUGAGACCACGAUCCCUUCGGGGGUUGCGGCCAAAGAUGGCCUCUACUUGUAAGCUAUCGCUGAGGGAUGGGCCUGCGGGCCAUUAGCUUGUUGGUGAGGUAACGGCUCACCAAGGCUGUGAUGGCUAGCUGGUCUGAGAGGAUGACCAGCCACACUGGGACUGAGACACGGCCCAGACUCCUACGGGAGGCAGCAGUGGGGAAUAUUGCGCAAUGGGCGAAAGCCUGACGCAGCGACGCCGCGUGGGUGAUGAAGGCCUUGGUCGUAAGGACCUCGUCGCAGGGAAGGAA